UUUUUUUUUGUUUUUUGUUUUUUUUUGUCUUUUUGGUAUUUCUUUGGGCCACUCCUGCGGCAUAUGGAGGUUCCCAGGCUAGGGGUCGAAUCGGAGCUGUGGACCCCGGCCUACGCCAGAGCCACAGCAACGUGGGAUCCCAGUCGCGUCUGCAACCUACACCGCAGCUCAUGGCAACGCCGGAUCGUUAACCCACUGAGCAAGGGCAGGGACUGAACCCGCAACCUCAUGGUUCCUAGUCAGACUCGCUAACCACUGUGCCACGACGGGAACUCCCUGGAAGUUUUAAAUAUGUAGAUUGCCAAAGGCCACUGAGACCAAGGAUAGAGUUGUUGAACUUUCCACCAUGGAAAGGAGUGGCCAUUGUUAGGUGUACCAGGUACCCAGUGAGGGUUUCUGGAAUAGAUGGACUUUUGUCUGGAUGUUGACCACUAUAGAAUGGUAUAGGAGACCAAGAGCAGCUUCCUGGCUAUGACAGUGGCUCAAAGCCAGAGCACAUAGAUCGGAAGUAUUUAGGUUUGUUCAGAGCUCUUGAGACCACGGACUUGUCUGGAGCAGAGAAACGCUCUAGAGAAUAAUAGGAGAUCACCUUGGAAAGCUAGCAUGGCGACAUUUCCAAAACCAAAACUUUGACACAAAGCCUACCGAAUUUAUAAAUGCUUUUGGGAUUAUGGGCCAGCAUAUUUUUUUUUAAUGAUUUUUACUUUUUCCAUUAUAGCUAUAGGUUUACAGUGUUCUGUCAAUUUUCUACUGUAUAGCAAGGUGACCCAGUCACACAUACAUAUAUACAUUCUUUUUCUCAAAUUAUCCUCCAUCAUGCUCCAUCAUAAGUGACUAGAUAUAGUUCCCAGUGCUAUACAGCAGGAUCUCAUUGCCUAUACAUUCCAAAGGCAAUAGUCUGCAUCUGUUAAUUCCCAGUCCAUCCCACUCUCUCCCCCUCCCUCUUGGCAACCGCAAGUCUGUUCUCCAAGUCCAUGCAUUUCUUUUCAUUUGUGCCGUAUAAUACAUUCCAUAUAUAAGUGAUAUUAUACGGUAUUUGUCUUUCUCUUUCUGACUUAUUUCACCUAGUAUGAGAGUCUCUAGUUUCAUCCACGUUGCUGCAAAUGGCAGUAUUUUGUUCCUUUUUAUGGCUAAGUAGUAUUCCACUGUAUAUAUACACCACAUCUUCUUAAUCCAUUCAUCUGUCGAUGGACAUUUAGGUUGUUUCCAUGUCUUGGCUAUUGUAAAUGGUGCUGCAAUGAACAUAUGGGUGCAUGUGCCUUUUCAAGCAAAGUUGUGUCCGGAUGUGUGCCCAAGAGUGGGAUUGCUGUGGUAGUUCUAUAGUCUUCUGGGGUACCUCAAUACUAUUUUCCAUAGUGGUUGUACCAAUUUAUAUUCCCACUGACAGUGUAGGAGUGUUCCCUUUUCUCCACAGCCUCUCCAGCACUUGUCAUUUGUGAACUUAUUAAUGAUGGCCAUUCUGACUGGUGCGAGGUGGUACUUCAUUGUAGUUUUGAUUUGCAUCUCUCUAAUAAUCAGUGAUGUUGAGCAUCUUUUCAUGUGCUUGUCGGCCAUCUAUAUAUCUUCUUUGGAGAAAUGUCUAUUUGGGUUGUUGCCUUUUUUUUGCUGUUGAGUUGUAUAAGUUGUUUGUAUAUUUUAGAGAUUAAGCCCUUGUCAGUUGCAUCGUUCGAAACUAUUUUCUCCCAUUCUGUAAGUUGUCUUUUUUGUUUUUUUUAAAGGUUCCCUUUGCUGGGCAAAAGCUUGUAAGUUUGAUUAGCUUCCACUGGUUUUUUUUGCUUGUAUUUCUGUUGCCUUGGGAGAGCCAGCAUAUUUGAAUCUGGGCACUCCUGGGCAAUGUGGGACCAUUGGCAGUGUGGGACCAAUGUUGGAUCAGCAGUUCCAAGAGAUCAUUUACAACUGGAAACCUCAGACCUCAGUCAUUAUACAGACAAGGAAAAUGAAGGCAAGUUUAACAACUUGCCUAAAGUCACACAGCUUUAAUCCUGCAAAGGCCAAGGCUAAAGUGAGUUCUCCUGUUUUAAUACCAUGCUUCCUGGAUGAAGGACCCUGAACCCUGGGUCGAGAUGAGAUGUGGCAAUAACGGGGACUUGGGAUAAAUCACUGCCCAGGGAAGCAACACGGUGAGUAGGGUGUUUGAGGAAGGAUAACGAUGUGUAAACUGGACAGUAAGGGUCUGAAGGGAGGGGAUUGUUGGGGGACCAACAGCAACAACCUCUCGGCAUGCGGCCAGUUAGGGGCUGGGCCUGACUGCCGGCUAUGAGAUUAGCCAGGAAAGAUCUAUGGAGAGACAUGGCAUCCCUCACUCUACACUUUCCCCAAUUUCCUUCUGUCUGUUCCUCAGAACUCACUUCAUUGCUUUCACUGCUUAUUUGUGGACACAACCCAGCACAAACUUUAGCCAGCUUGUAAAUCGUUUAGACAUGUUUUUAUUAGGCCACACUCUACACUUUUCAGAGCCAGUGCAAUACCCACUGGGAACUAAAAGGAAUCAGGCCCACUAAAAACUGUGAGUGGCUCUGAACUUGCGGCUUUCUCCAAAUGAGAUGGCAUUUAAAUAGGGAGCUGAGAAAGCCAAGAGGCCAAGAGUAUCUCACCUAAAUCACACUCUUUCUGUACCACUUCUGGCACUUCUGAUAUGCCCUCAAACCUCCAGUGUCCUUUGCUCCUGUGGGACAGCUGCCAGGUUCAUUCAGCACAAGAUAGGAGGCAUCAUAUUCAGCAUAUUCAGUCCAAAAGGGACCUUGAGGGUCAUCCCGGCUAAACCCUCAGGGAUUGGGGAACACAGGUGACUGAGGUGAAAACCAGACCAGAACCCCUAUCUCCUGAUGCCCUUCUAAACUACAGCCUUUCUCUCAUCUCUCAUUCCCCCUUCCUGAAAUAAAGUUCCAAAAUUAAAAAAAAAAAAUCAGUUCAAAAUUAUCAUAUUUGUGUAUUUGUACUAUAUUUGUGUAUUUUUCUAUAUAUAUAGAAAUAUAUAUAUAUUUUAUCUCUUCCUAUUGAUUCUAAUCUAUAUGUGAAUAUAUACAUACAUAUAUUAAAGUCAAUAGAGAUAUAAGUACAAUAAAUGCGAUAAAUUCAAAUGUUGCCUUAAAUAUAGUGAUUGAAUAGCAUUCUCUAAGUCAAAUUACCUUAGUGGGCAGUAAUGAAGACCUUUUUCCUUUAUGCUGUAUCUGCCAUCAGCAGUGACUAGUCGAUACAUGUUUUCCUUAUCAUAUCACUGUUCCUUCCCUCAGAAUGGCAUUAUGUUGUUCCUCGUUCUUGUCUCACUUUCCUUCGGUAACAAAUCUGCUGAAAGGAAAAGCCCUUACCAUAUUUAUCUUUGCAUGCCCAUGGUUCUUAGUAAUGUUUUGGACACAAUUGUUUGUUCUUCAUAAGGUUUUGGCACAGGGUUCACGCUUCAUAAACAUUUGAGGAAUUAUGCAUCCAAUAACUUGCAUUCAGUAUUUUUGCAAUGUUUUCCUUCACCACUUAAAGGAGAAAAGCCAGAGAGUGAAAUGAAUAUGCCACAUCGACUGGUGAAUUUAACAACCUGCUUUUCAAAAGAAAGCACCUGAGGAAGCUAUGGGCUUAGACCUAUAAUUCUGAAAUCCAAAUCACACAGAUGAGUCUGAACAGUUUUAUCAAGUCUUAGGAAACAAAUUAAAAGUUCAACCCAUGGCAAUUUUGGCAGAAUGAAAUGAAAUGUCAACUUGCAUGUAAGCCAAUUUUCUUUUCCACAAUCAAUGGGUCGUUUUGAGGCCCCCUCCAAAAAAAAAAAAAAAAAACUUCAAGAUUGUGUUUACUUAGAUUAUUUGUAAGAAAACUGCCUCCUUGCUUUUCUGUAAAAGUAAGAGGGGCAGAGCAGUUCCUAGACUCUUAGAUGCUUCAGCUAAAUGAGCACCAGUGCCAAUAAUUGGAAAUGAGAAAAAUGAUGCCAAACACUUGGCACCAGCUGCAGCAGUUAAGAAAGCACCUGCUUUAUGCUUCAUCUGCUGUCACCCCCUUCC
This 3986-nucleotide long non-coding RNA is filed under the name Sus scrofa (pig). RNAcentral's name for it is "lncRNA (ENSSSCG00025000346.1)". The record is from RNAcentral. Lineage: Eukaryota; Metazoa; Chordata; Mammalia; Artiodactyla; Suidae.